AUUGAACGCUGGCGGCAGGCCUAACACAUGCAAGUCGAGCGGCAGCGGGAAAGUAGCUUGCUACUUUUGCCGGCGAGCGGCGGACGGGUGAGUAAUGCCUGGGAAAUUGCCCAGUCGAGGGGGAUAACAGUUGGAAACGACUGCUAAUACCGCAUACGCCCUACGGGGGAAAGCAGGGGACCUUCGGGCCUUGCGCGAUUGGAUAUGCCCAGGUGGGAUUAGCUAGUUGGUGAGGUAAUGGCUCACCAAGGCGACGAUCCCUAGCUGGUCUGAGAGGAUGAUCAGCCACACUGGAACUGAGACACGGUCCAGACUCCUACGGGAGGCAGCAGUGGGGAAUGUUGCACAAUGGGGGAAACCCUGAUGCAGCCAUGCCGCGUGUGUGAAGAAGGCCUUCGGGUUGUAAGGCACUUCCAGCGAGGAGGAAAGGUCAGUAGCUAAUAUCUGCUGACUGUGACGUUACUCGCAGAAGAAGCACCGGCUAACUCCGUGCCAGCCGCCGCAGUAA
Molecule: ribosomal RNA, 508 nt
Filed under: uncultured bacterium
Lineage: Bacteria
Description: partial 16S ribosomal RNA
Rfam family: Bacterial small subunit ribosomal RNA
Source: RNAcentral